Molecule: ribosomal RNA, 586 nt
Filed under: Staphylococcus epidermidis NIHLM020
Lineage: Bacteria; Bacillati; Bacillota; Bacilli; Caryophanales; Staphylococcaceae
Description: bacterial SSU rRNA
Rfam family: Bacterial small subunit ribosomal RNA
Source: RNAcentral
UUUUAUGGAGAGUUUGAUCCUGGCUCAGGAUGAACGCUGGCGGCGUGCCUAAUACAUGCAAGUCGAGCGAACAGAUGAGGAGCUUGCUCCUCUGACGUUAGCGGCGGACGGGUGAGUAACACGUGGAUAACCUACCUAUAAGACUGGGAUAACUACGGGAAACCGGAGCUAAUACCGGAUAAUAUAUUGAACCGCAUGGUUCAAUAGUGAAAGACGGUUUUGCUGUCACUUAUAGAUGGAUCCGCGCCGCAUUAGCUAGUUGGUAAGGUAACGGCUUACCAAGGCAACGAUGCGUAGCCGACCUGAGAGGGUGAUCGGCCACACUGGAACUGAGACACGGUCCAGACUCCUACGGGAGGCAGCAGUAGGGAAUCUUCCGCAAUGGGCGAAAGCCUGACGGAGCAACGCCGCGUGAGUGAUGAAGGUCUUCGGAUCGUAAAACUCUGUUAUUAGGGAAGAACAAAUGUGUAAGUAACUAUGCACGUCUUGACGGUACCUAAUCAGAAAGCCACGGCUAACUACGUGCCAGCAGCCGCGGUAAUACGUAGGUGGCAAGCGUUAUCCGGAAUUAUUGGGCGUAAAGCGC